Molecule: ribosomal RNA, 460 nt
Filed under: uncultured beta proteobacterium
Lineage: Bacteria; Pseudomonadati; Pseudomonadota; Betaproteobacteria
Description: bacterial SSU rRNA
Rfam family: Bacterial small subunit ribosomal RNA
Source: RNAcentral
GCACAGGUGCUGCAUGGCUGUCGUCAGCUCGUGUCGUGAGAUGUUGGGUUAAGUCCCGCAACGAGCGCAACCCUUGUCACUAGUUGCUACGAAAGGGCACUCUAGUGAGACCGCCGGUGACAAACCGGAGGAAGGUGGGGAUGACGUCAAGUCCUCAUGGCCCUUAUGGGUAGGGCUUCACACGUCAUACAAUGGCCGGUACAGAGGGUUGCCAACCCGCGAGGGGGAGCCAAUCCCAGAAAACCGGUCGUAGUCCGGAUUGCAGUCUGCAACUCGACUGCAUGAAGUCGGAAUCGCUAGUAAUCGCGGAUCAGCAUGUCGCGGUGAAUACGUUCCCGGGUCUUGUACACACCGCCCGUCACACCAUGGGAGUGGGUUUCACCAGAAGCCGUUUGCCUAACCGCAAGGAGGGCGGCGACCACGGUGAGAUUCAUGACUGGGGUGAAGUCGUAACAAGGUA